UAUUUAUAAAAUAUUAUCUAAAAUUAAAUAUAAAAAUAUAUAUAAUAGCUCAACAUAUAAAAUAUAUGUAUGAACACGAUAUUAUAAUAUUAAAAAAAUAUUUUAGGGGAAGCGACUAUGUGACCAAGUGAAAGAGAGGGCGAGACAGUAAUUAGAGUAUGGUUUUGCUGGUUUGAUUUUAUGAGCCAGUAAAUAUGCCCAAUAACGAAAAUUCGGCAUAAUAUAAUUAAAAUACAUAAAAAAAUAUAUAUUAUUAUAUAUAAUUAAAGUAAUUAAAGUAUAUAUUAUAUAUAAUUAUAUAUAUUAUUAAUAUUUUAAUAUAUAUAUAUAUAGAGAGAGAGAGAGAGAAUUGAGCUCUAUGCUUUUAAAAGUACUAAGUCAUUGGUGCUUGUAAAUUUUUAGCCUUUCGAUUAAGGGAUGUGCGGUUAGGAUGGUAGUGGUCUCCUAAAGUUUAGUGAGUAGUUAAUUAAAUAAUAUGAUCUAACAUAUAGAAAUUGUCAAAGGAAUAGAUCCAACGGCAAAAAACAUAGAAGAACAAAGUCUUUGGUGCAUUGACAAGCACCAUAACCGUACUCUAAUAUAUAUACAUAUAUAGAGUGUGGCUACUAUACUAUUAAUAGUAUCAAGCUUUUGGUAUUAUCGAGUUUUCUGCCGUUAGAUCUACCCUUUGAUCAUUUCCACCCAUUAAAUUAUACUAUUCAACCAACCACCCACUCAACCCUAGGGGACCAUUAUCAUCUUAACCGCACACCUUUCCAGCCAACAGCCGAAAACUCGAUAGUACCAAGCACUUGGUUGUAAGGACUGAGAUUUUAGCAGUAUAGCUAAACUUUUUAUUGAUGAUGUUUUUGUGUGUAAUUUAAUUACAAAAGCACUCGUCAAGUUUCAGGAGAAACCGAGUUAGAAUGGAGAAGUUACGCGGUUAAUAGUAUUCACUUAAGUGAAUAGUAACUCCGGUUUUUCGGAGAAGCCACGGAGUAGAGUUGGCUUCUGGUGCGUAUCGGACUCCGUUCAUAGCGAUCCAAUAGCUCGUUUCGAACGGCUCAACUAUUUUGGACCUAAUAGCACUGACGGAAUUGGGUUCUGAUGUGUAGUUGUCGAGAAAAAGGGGUUUGAUUGAUUUACAUGUAUAUAUGUGGUUAUACGGUGGAAUGUAAUGAGGGUUGACUUCGUCGCAAAUCGGCGACCGAAUCAGGUUAAGCGAGAUGCUAGAUUCGAUGUCCCAGUCGUGAUGAACGCACUGGCGUGAUCCAUUCGGAAAUCCGACGGACGGAUCUUCGGAAAUUACGAGAUGUUCACCGAGGGGUCAAUUGAAGCAAAAUGGAAAAAAUCGUGAAAGGUCUAAUAUUUUAUGCGCCGUU
Molecule: long non-coding RNA, 1361 nt
Filed under: Ananas comosus (pineapple)
Lineage: Eukaryota; Viridiplantae; Streptophyta; Magnoliopsida; Poales; Bromeliaceae
Description: long non-coding RNA (ACOM_LNC024487)
Source: RNAcentral